RNAcentral lists this ribosomal RNA (465 nucleotides) under uncultured Klebsiella sp. RNAcentral describes it as "bacterial SSU rRNA". It matches the Rfam family "Bacterial small subunit ribosomal RNA", at positions 338 to 795 of the family's 1533-position model. The record is from RNAcentral. Lineage: Bacteria; Pseudomonadati; Pseudomonadota; Gammaproteobacteria; Enterobacterales; Enterobacteriaceae.
CCUACGGGGGGCUGCAGUGGGGAAUAUUGCACAAUGGGCGCAAGCCUGAUGCAGCCAUGCCGCGUGUGUGAAGAAGGCCUUCGGGUUGUAAAGCACUUUCAGCGGGGAGGAAGGCGGUGAGGUUAAUAACCUCAUCGAUUGACGUUACCCGCAGAAGAAGCACCGGCUAACUCCGUGCCAGCAGCCGCGGUAAUACGGAGGGUGCAAGCGUUAAUCGGAAUUACUGGGCGUAAAGCGCACGCAGGCGGUCUGUCAAGUCGGAUGUGAAAUCCCCGGGCUCAACCUGGGAACUGCAUUCGAAACUGGCAGGCUAGAGUCUUGUAGAGGGGGGUAGAAUUCCAGGUGUAGCGGUGAAAUGCGUAGAGAUCUGGAGGAAUACCGGUGGCGAAGGCGGCCCCCUGGACAAAGACUGACGCCCAGGUGCGAAAGCGUGGGGAGCAAACAGGAUUAGAUACCCGUGUAGUC